GUGUGAAUUGCAGAAUUCAGUGAAUCAUCGAAUCUUUGAACGCACAUUGCGCCUCCUGGUAUUCCGGGAGGCAUGCCUGUUCGAGCGUCAUUAAAAACCACUCAAGCUCUUUUGCUUGGUCAUGGAAGAAGAGUCCGCUUGCCGGUCUCCCUUUCGAAAUGCAAUGGCGGAAGGUCUCUUGUACCCAGCGUAGUAAUAACUUUUCGCUUUGUGCAUUGAUUCAUUCCUGCCGUCAAACCCCCAAUUUUCUUAGGUUGACCUCGGAUCAGGUAGGGAUACCCGCUGAACUUAAGCAUAUCAUAGACGGAGGAAA
Molecule: ribosomal RNA, 313 nt
Filed under: Tricharina gilva
Lineage: Eukaryota; Fungi; Ascomycota; Pezizomycetes; Pezizales; Pyronemataceae
Description: eukaryotic LSU rRNA
Rfam family: 5.8S ribosomal RNA (bases 1-90)
Source: RNAcentral